GCGGUGUUUGGCACCUCGAUGUCGGCUCAUCACAUCCUGGGGCUGAAGUCGGUCCCAAGGGUAUGGCUGUUCGCCAUUUAAAGUGGUACGCGAGCUGGGUUUAGAACGUCGUGAGACAGUUCGGUCCCUAUCUGCCGUGGGCGUUGGAAGAUUGAAGGGGGCUGCUCCUAGUACGAGAGGACCGGAGUGGACGAACCUCUGGUGUUCGGGUUGUGUCGCCAGACGCAUUGCCCGGUAGCUAAGUUCGGAAUUGAUAAGCGCUGAAAGCAUCUAAGCGCGAAGCGAGCCCUGAGAUGAGUCUUCCCUGACAGUUUAACUGUCCUAAAGGGUUGUUCGAGACUAGAACGUUGAUAGGCAGGGUGUGUAAGCGUUGUGAGGCGUUGAGCUAACCUGUACUAAUUGCCCGUGAGGCUUAACCAUACAACACCCAAGGGGUUUUGUA
This 442-nucleotide ribosomal RNA is filed under the name Vibrio cholerae. RNAcentral describes it as "partial 23S ribosomal RNA". It matches the Rfam family "Bacterial large subunit ribosomal RNA", at positions 2511 to 2925 of the family's 2925-position model. Lineage: Bacteria; Pseudomonadati; Pseudomonadota; Gammaproteobacteria; Vibrionales; Vibrionaceae. The record is from RNAcentral.